This 283-nucleotide ribosomal RNA is filed under the name uncultured bacterium. RNAcentral describes it as "partial 16S ribosomal RNA". It matches the Rfam family "Bacterial small subunit ribosomal RNA", at positions 29 to 303 of the family's 1533-position model. The record is from RNAcentral.
AGCGAACGCUGGCGGUAUGCUUAACACAUGCAAGUCGAGCGCGAAAGUGACUACGGUCAUGAGUAGAGCGGCGGACGGGUGAGUAACACGUGGAUAAUCUGCCUUUAGGACUGGGAUAACCCUGGGAAACUAGGGCUAAUACCGGAUAAGACCACAGGUUCCAUGGAACCAGGGGUAAAAGGCGGCCUUCGGGCUGUCGCCGAAAGAUGAGUCCGCGUCCCAUCAGGUAGUUGGUGAGGAACGGCUCACCAAGCCGAAGACGGUAGCCGACCUUAGCGGGUGA